GACAAACGCUGGCGGCGUGCUUAACACAUGCAAGUCGAACGGAAAGGCCCUGCUUUUGUGGGGUGCUCGAGUGGCGAACGGGUGAGUAACACGUGAGUAACCUGCCCUUGACUUUGGGAUAACUUCAGGAAACUGGGGCUAAUACCGGAUAGGAGCUCCUGCUGCAUGGUGGGGGUUGGAAAGUUUCGGCGGUUGGGGAUGGACUCGCGGCUUAUCAGCUUGUUGGUGGGGUAGUGGCUUACCAAGGCUUUGACGGGUAGCCGGCCUGAGAGGGUGACCGGCCACAUUGGGACUGAGAUACGGCCCAGACUCCUACGGGAGGCAGCAGUGGGGAAUAUUGCACAAUGGGCGGAAGCCUGAUGCAGCAACGCCGCGUGCGGGAUGAAGGCCUUCGGGUUGUAAACCGCUUUCGCCUGUGACGAAGCGUGAGUGACGGUAAUGGGUAAAGAAGCACCGGCUAACUACGUG
RNAcentral lists this ribosomal RNA (468 nucleotides) under uncultured bacterium. RNAcentral's name for it is "partial 16S ribosomal RNA". It matches the Rfam family "Bacterial small subunit ribosomal RNA", at positions 28 to 507 of the family's 1533-position model. The record is from RNAcentral.